GAUGAACGCUAGCGGCAGGCUUAACACAUGCAAGUCGAGGGGUAUUGGUUUUCGGACCAAGAGACCGGCGCACGGGUGCGUAACGCGUAUGCAAUCUACCUUUUGCAGAGGGAUAGCCCCAGAGAAAUUUGGAUUAAUACCUCAUAGUAUGUGAGAAUGGCAUCAUUUUCACAUUAAAGUCACAACGGCAAAAGAUGAGCAUGCGUCCCAUUAGCUUGUUGGUAAGGUAACGGCUUACCAAGGCAACGAUGGGUAGGGGUCCUGAGAGGGAGAUCCCCCACACUGGUACUGAGACACGGACCAGACUCCUACGGGAGGCAGCAGUGAGGAAUAUUGGACAAUGGGCGCAAGCCUGAUCCAGCCAUGCCGCGUGCAGGAUGACGGUCCUAUGGAUUGUAAACUGCUUUUGUACAGGAAGAAACCCCUUUCACGUGUGGAAGAUUGACGGUACUGUAAGAAUAAGGAUCGGCUAACUCCGUGCCAGCAGCCG
RNAcentral lists this ribosomal RNA (490 nucleotides) under uncultured bacterium. RNAcentral describes it as "bacterial SSU rRNA". It matches the Rfam family "Bacterial small subunit ribosomal RNA", at positions 28 to 517 of the family's 1533-position model. The record is from RNAcentral.